Molecule: unclassified non-coding RNA, 377 nt
Filed under: uncultured Thermoleophilia bacterium
Lineage: Bacteria; Bacillati; Actinomycetota; Thermoleophilia
Description: contains 16S-23S intergenic spacer region
Source: RNAcentral
UCCGAGUUGUCCCCGGCAGUCUCUUUAGAGUCCCCACCAUUACGUGCUGGCAACUAAAGACAGGGGUUGCGCUCGUUGCGGCACUUAAGCCAACACCUCACGGCACGAGCUGACGACAGCCAUGCACCACCUGUGCACUGGUCCCGAAGGAGGGCCGUAUUUCUACGGCUUUCCGUACAUGUUAAGCCCAGGUAAGGUUCUUCGCGUUGCAUCGAAUUAAACCACAUGCUCCGCUGCUUGUGCGGACCCCCGUCAAUUCCUUUGAGUUUUAGCCUUGCGGCCGUACUCCCCAGGCGGGGCACUUAAUGCGUUAGCGCCGGCACGGGAGGAGUCGACACCUCCCACACCUAGUGCCCAUCGUUUACGGCGUGGACUAC